RNAcentral lists this ribosomal RNA (1144 nucleotides) under uncultured bacterium. Its description in RNAcentral is "bacterial SSU rRNA". It matches the Rfam family "Bacterial small subunit ribosomal RNA", at positions 37 to 1206 of the family's 1533-position model. The record is from RNAcentral.
UGGCGGCGUGCCUAAUACAUGCAAGUCGAACGAGGCCCUUUGUAUUCGUAUGAAGGUGUCCUAGUGGCGAACGGGUGAGUAACACGUAGGUGACCUACCCCGAAGCGGGGGACAACUCCGGGAAACUGGAGCUAAUACCCCGUGUUCUCCAUGGUGUUAGUGGACCAUGGAGCAAAGGAGCAAUCCACUUUGGGAGGGGCCUGCGGCCCAUCAGCUAGUUGGUAGGGUAAUGGCCUACCCAGGCUAUGACGGGUAGGGGACCUGAGAGGGUGGUCCCCCACACUGGAUCUGAAACACGGACCGGACACCUACGGGUGGCAGCAGUAGGGAAUAUUGCACAAUGGGCGGAAAGCCUGAUGCAGCAACGCCGCGUGCGCGAUGAAGGCCUUCGGGUUGUAAAGCGCUUUUCUGGGGGAAGAGGAAGGACGGUACCCCAGGAAUAAGUCUCGGCUAACUACGUGCCAGCAGCCGCGGUAAAACGUAGGAGGCGAGCGUUAUCCGGAUUUACUGGGCGUAAAGCGCGUGUAGGCGGUUAGGUAAGUCGGACGUGAAAGCUCCCGGCUCAACUGGGAGAGGCCGUUCGAAACUACCUGACUUGAGGGCAGUAGAGGGAGGUGGAAUUCCGGGUGUAGCGGUGAAAUGCGUAGAUAUCCAGAGGAACACCAGUGGCGAAGGCGGCCUCCUGGGCUGACCCUGACGCUCAGACGCGAAAGCUAGGGUAGCAAACGGGAUUAGACACCCCGGUAGUCCUAGCUGUAAACGAUGCAGACUUGGUGUUGGCAGUUUAAACACUGUCAGUGCCGUAGCUAACGCGAUAAGUCUGCCGCCUGGGGACUACGACCGCAAUGUUAAAACUCAAAGGAAUUGACGGGGGCCCGCACAAGCAGCGGAGCGUGUGGUUUAAUUCGAGGCUACGCGAAGAACCUUACCUGGGUUUGACAUGUACGUAGUAGGAAUCCGAAAGGUGACCGACCCCUCGGGGAGCGUACACAGGUGCUGCAUGGCUGUCGUCAGCUCGUGCCGUGAGGUGUCCGGUUAAGUCCGGUAACGAGCGCAACCCUUGCUCUGUGUUAUAUGUGUCACAGAGGACUGCCGGAUAAGCCGGAGGAGGUGGGGAUGACGUCAAGUCAGCAUGGCCUUUAUA